This 2210-nucleotide long non-coding RNA is filed under the name Felis catus (domestic cat). RNAcentral describes it as "lncRNA (ENSFCAG00000049115.1)". Lineage: Eukaryota; Metazoa; Chordata; Mammalia; Carnivora; Felidae. The record is from RNAcentral.
GCACUAUUCCAAGUUGCAUGCAUUGACUCAUUUAAUCCUUAAGAAAACCCUAUGAGGUGGGUGCUAUCAUCACCCCAUUUUACAGAUGAUGAUACUGAGGCACAGAGAGGGUCAGGGGCAAGGGCGCAAUGCAGCUAGAAAAUGCUGCAGCCAGAAACAGCAAGCCAGGCAGGCAGUCUCCAGAGCCUCUGUGGUAACAGUCUGCCCUCCCCUGCAUGAGAACUUAGCGGGAAGUGGGGAAGGCACAUUGCCAGAAGGAGGUGGUGCCCUGCCCAAGUAUUGGAGCAUGACAAGAAGUCAGUAAAGCAGAGAAGACAGGGACAGAGAACUGAUGAGGACUUUCACCCAUCAAACUGUCACCAUCAGAAGUUUCAAACAGAGCUGCAAGUGCAAAGCAAAGAGGCAUGACAGGACGUGGGCAUUCCAGAAGAUGCAAAGGUUUUAUAAAAAUGCUGAUGGCGGAUUUGCUCCAGGCUACAUUGUACCGUCAACAUUUUCUCCUCAGCACAGGGGAGCCUCGGUGACUGGGGGCCAUGUUGCCUUUUCUUACCGUGUUCACUAUGCCAGAAGGAAAUGUGAAAAUCCUGAAGUGUUCCUUCAGAUGGCUGAGGGAAAAAUAUGUAAAUCGGUAAAGAGAGGAAAUUCUGCUGAUCUUGGACAAGGAGCCUUUGACAAUGUUGUGUGUGUGAGACUCUGCUGAGAAGAAGGCUGCGUUGAUGACUGACUUUUCAUUUUAAGUUGGGAUCUUUUCUGCCUCCCAGCACAGAUGGAAAACUUGGUGCGUUUCAAGGAAAUAGGAUUUAGAAAAUCAAAGGCUAAUACAUUUUAGAAAAUCUUGGAUUAUGGGACAGGGGGUGGCCUGUUCUCGCCAAACACUGCGAAUCUAACCUUGAUGUUUACGUAUUCAGUUUGAAGACUGAAGCGUCUCUUUUUAACAAUGGCAGUCAAUGGUUCUGGGUGAAAUAGGGGCUCAAAAGGCUGGUGCAUUGUCUGUUUUCUCCCAUCCUUAUAAGGCCCUAUGUGUCUCGCUGGUUUCAGCAAGACAUCCUCCCCCACACAUCCACCCCCAGAGAGACUUACUGACUCUGAGUGGCUCCAGAAUCUCAGAUUCACAUGGGCCAUCAGCUGUUGUGUGAAAUUCCAGACCUGCCCCUGACCAUCUCUUCCGGUAUCCGACAAGGACCCUCAAACCUGACCGUCCAAAAUGGAAUUGUGAUCUUACCCUCAGUCUGCACUCUUCUCAAAUUUCCCACCUCAGAGGGGGGCACCAUCAUCCAUGGAGGCCCCUUGCAAGGGAGCCUGGAGUCAUCCCACCUUCCCCGUCUCUCCCACCUGAUCGGUCCUUGAAAGUUGUCCCUUCUACCCGCCGCCUGUCUGUUGAAUAGGAUCAUUUCCCUCCUUCCCCACAGACAUUUGCCUCAUUCAGACUUUCAUUGCCUGUCACCUAGCCCACUGCCAUAGUCUCCUUGUUGCUCUCUGCUGUGGUCUGAAUGUGUGUGUCCCCCAAAAUCACAUGUUGAAAUCCUAAUGUCCAGUGUGAUAGUAUUAGGAGGUGGGACCUUUGGGAGGUGCUUGGCUCCUGAAGACGGAACCAUCGUGAAUGGGAUUGGUGCCCUUAGAAAAGAGGCCUCAGAGAACUUGCUAGCCCCUUUCCACUGUGUGAGUAGCAGCAAGAAGUCCACAGUUGGCAACCCGGAAGAGGGCCUUUGCCAGACCCCAACCAUCCUGGCACCUAGAUCGUGGACUUCCAGCCUCUAAAAUUGUGAGAAAUACAUGCCCAUUGUGAAUAAGCGGCCAGGUCUGCUGGUAUUCUGUUAUAGCAGUUCAAACAGAUUAAGGCAGUCCCUAUAUAAAUCUCACUCCCUCAGCUACAUCACAGGGAUCGCCUGCCAACCUGUGAGAGUGCUCUGACUGCAGGAGGGACAUCACCUUUGUCCCUCUCACCCUCUUGUCCAAUCAGGCUGCUCCCAGCCCCUGGCACUCAGUGCCCUCCAGGAGCUAGUUCCAGCCUCCUCCCCAGGCUUGUUCUGCUGCUCAAGCCCCACAUCCACCCACCCAUCGCAUAGCUGGUUAGUCCUCCAGGUACACCCCAUGCUAUUCCAUGCUUCACGCUGUUCCUUGACUUGGAGUGCUUUUCUGUCAUAGGCUACAAAUAGUUUCCUGUUCAGAGUCCUCCUUUCAGAAUAAAGCAGAAACCACCUUGGAUCUCA